AGGAUACCUAGACUGCUGAGACUCCUGGUUUCAAGUUGAUUGCAUGUUCCUUGCCUCGGAAUAGAGGUAGUGUUGUCGGAAUUGCAAACGCAUCAUUGAAUUCUUGGAGUAGCAGUGAGAGUUUUGGUGAUAUCUCUGGACUAGUCGAUGUUGCUAUAGAGUUAGCAAGCAGCACUUCCCUUCCUGGCUUACCACUUGUAUAGACCGGCAUCAAUGAUUUGAAAGAGAAUUUGGUACCGUGCAAGGACUUAUCGCCGAGCAACGUAACCUUGUUCCCUUCUAUGUUUGGUCUUCUUUUUGAACAGCCAAUAUUGCUCCAGCUGCUGCUCCUGGACCUGCUGGUACAUUUGGCCCGGCGAUGUCUCGAGGUCCAGCAACAACUCCAAUUGUCCCAGAACCGACCCCAGCAGCUCAGACACCACAGUCCGAUGCAACUCAGCCUUUUACACCAACCGUCGACACUGCGGGUCCUACGGCUGGCGACGGAGGAAGCACCAGUCGACCUUCUCUCACUCCUUCAUCCGCCUACGCCCUCUCACCUUCGCUUCUCUUCUUUGGCAUCAGCCUCGUAGUUCUCAAAUUCUAUUGAUUUCAUUGUUCAUUUGCUUUUUCAAUGUGAUUUGAUUAAUGCGGUGCAGAAUUAUAAGUUUAUAUUUGUUCUCGUUUGCUUGAUGAUUAAUGUUGAUUCUCAAACUAAAUAAAAUGUCAAAACACACAAAUCUCCCAACAAAAGCAAAUGUCACAGCUGAGGAAACAUAAAUUCUGGAACCAAA
Long non-coding RNA from Brassica rapa (field mustard), 773 nucleotides. RefSeq lists it as uncharacterized. NCBI's taxonomy places the organism in Eukaryota, Viridiplantae, Streptophyta, Magnoliopsida, Brassicales, Brassicaceae. The record is from RefSeq and is a predicted model, not a curated record.